UACUAUUGUCGAUUCACAAAUAGUAUCUGGGUGGACUGAAAUAUUUAUAGAUCGAUCACCAUUGCCGCUAGAAGACAUAAACAUCAUUAGGGAGCAAUGGACCACAUUUUUUAUUGACCAUUACUUUAACUAGUUAGAACUUACAUUUCAUUGAGCAAUGUAGUCCAUUUAUGUAUUAGAUGUAUUUAAAACUAUUCAAUUAUAUAUAUAUGAUUAACAUUUAUCAUCUUGUCA
Molecule: non-coding RNA, 234 nt
Organism: Cajanus cajan (pigeon pea)
Lineage: Eukaryota; Viridiplantae; Streptophyta; Magnoliopsida; Fabales; Fabaceae
Source: RefSeq, a predicted model, not a curated record